AUGCACAGAGCCAAUUCAGAUUCAUCUGCCGGGAGCAAAACGUCCCAAAACAGAGGAUCAGGAGCAGAUGGUGAGGAUCAAACGAGGCAUGCGGAGCAGCCUACUGGGACACGUGUGUGGGCCACUUUACUGAACACCAUCUCUAAUGCUCAGCCACUUCUGAUCACCAAUCACGGUACUGAGGAAUCUAGACCAAGGAAAGAUUCCUUGCUUCAGAAGAGAUCACUUUUAGAGUCUGAUAGCGGUCUGGCAUGGACUGUCCUGUGGGUUUUCAGAUGUCGGUACAGACCGGCCCAACUUAACAUUGUACAUAUGGCUCAUCAGCUGGAAGAAGUUGAGAUCUGCCGGAAAUAUGUCCUGGAGCAGGUGUCUAGAUUGCCUCAACGUGAAUCUAGUGCAGGACGCUCUACAGAGCUUGAGCUGAGCAUAGAGGGCAGAUGGAACAGAGUACUGCUGGAUACCUCAACCAUGGUGGAGUUCAAAAAGGCACAGCUCCAGCUGGUCACACAGUACCACCUGCAAAAACAGGUUCUCACGGAUACUCUACACAACCUGGAGGCUGAGCUCAACACAAUGACACCGGAUUGCAUUGACAGCAGCACCUUACAAGUAGAGAAGCUGAAUGUAUUCCUGAAGAACAUGCAGAAGAAGAAAGGCACACUAGAGGAGCUCCUACAGACAUGCUCUCAGAUUUCAGCCCAUCUGGGUGAGGCAGAGGGACCUGUGGCCUUCAUUGAACCUUUUAGGACUUUACAGGAGAGAUGGCAAACUAUAGAGCGGGUUGCCUCCAGCAGUCUGUGGUGUGCUAACAUCUGCACAGCAGAAGUAUCUGCACUCCUGCAAGAAGCCAGAGAUCUGCACCAUGAACUGGUGCUUCUGGAGAAGUCAGUUUCUCUUCCACAUCCCUCUCAAGGACAGAUGGACUGCCGAAGUGAGCUACAAGAAACUGUCAGAACUGCAGACCUGGCAGCAUUAACAGAGCUCUACUUAUACCUUCUUGAGGUCUCUCAGGCUCUUUCCUCAAGUCCGCUGGGAAAAAAAGAGCUCAGAGAUAUGGAGGACGCAAUGCAGGGCUUGAAUUCUCAGCUUGCGUUGACUCAGGAGAAGCUCAGCUCCCAGACUUCGAAUGGCAAUGGCUGUUCACCGAUCUCGAGGAUUAUCAAGGACUACGUUACAUGGGCUAAACAAACAGAAAGCAAAGUCAGCAGGAGUAGGAGGUUGGCUCUGUUUCCUGAAGAGGCAAGUCACCAGGUCAACCACAUGAAGAAACUGCAGUCUGAAACAUCUCUUAAGAAGAUUCAGUUGGCCUCUGUAUUGAAAGAGCUAAGAGAGGAAGUUACAGGACUCGACAAGGAGGAUUCAAUGUCUCCCAUCCUUGCUUCCCUAGAGGAUUUGUACGUUAAGAUUACAGAGAAGACCGAAUGUGCUGUUGCAGAAAUGAACAGAAUGUUUCAAAUAAGAGAGAGACUGUGGAAACAGAUCACUGACAGCAGCUCUUGGUUAACCUCAGUAUUAGAAAAAGGGUCUGGUAAAACAGUGGCUUCUAAACCUAAAACUACAAUCCCAGAAUUGAGGGUUCAGCUUCAGGUAUGCACAGAGGCUUUGAAGGAAGCCGAGAGACAAGCAAAUAACUUAGAGACUCUGUUAGAUGAAAUAAAAAAUGUGAAUCACGGUCUGAGUGUACCCGAAAGCUUUCAGCUUAUGAAUAGGCUAACAGCCUUACAAGAAGAGGUCUCUAGGGUUGUGAACCGUAAGUGGGCCUUGCACUGGGUGCUUGAAGAACUCCUUCAUGCUCAGGAAUCUUCUGCUGAGGAGCAAAACGUCAUUCUGAAGAGCUUGAGACAGAUGAGUGCUGAUGUCAUGAGGCAGAAGUAUCCCGUAACAAGGGACUCACUCUUGGCUCUUGAACCUGUUCAGCACAUCCUGAUGGAGCUCCUGUGCAAGGUGCCAGAAAUUCCACACUGCCCGGAUUCUCGGAGGAAAGAGAUGCUCAACGCUGUACUAGACCUACAGAGGAGAAUGGAUCUGCUGGAGUUGCAAGCGAAAGAUCAUGAGGAGUACCUCAUUUUAAGGCAGUACAUGGAGAACUCCAGAGAGGUGGUGAAGAAGAGCUGGUCGCAGAUUGUAGACUCAAGUGUAGGAGCUAACAUAAGGCUCGGCUAUUGUCAGGCUGUCUUAGUGGAGCUAGCUCUGGUGAGAAUGACAUGUCAAGAAGCCACUGACCACCUUGAGGCUAUUUCGAAAGAUCUCUAUCCAUCUCAGCUGACAGCAGAAAGGCAAAAAAUCCAUUUGGUCAUUGAGCAGCUCUCCUCUUGGGAGCUCACAGUAAAAAAUGAGGCUAAAACCCUUGAGUGCUCUCUGGCGGAGCGACUCGGCAGUCCUGCAGACCUCAGUCCAUUCACUGAGCUCUUCAUCAGUGUCAGGCAGCAGCUGAAGCAGAGCAUCUCCUUGGAGCCAGAUAAUGAGACCACUGAUGCAGAGCUACGCAAGCACUGGAUGCGAAUCCAGACCACUGAGUCUGUUCUACGAAUGCUGGAGCACUGCAGGAAAGCAGUAGAUGCUGAAAGCUACCAGAUGACCAUUGGUCUUGGCCAGAAAACUCUUAAUGAUUACGGUAUGCAUAUGGACAAGCUGCUCCAAGCUCGGGAGGCACUGAAGCGUUACCACUCGGCUGUUCAGGGUGCAGAGAUCUUCUUUCAGCAGAUAAGAUCCAAUCUCAUGAUCCCCUCUGAUGGCUUCAAAGGCUACAAAGAGGAGCAUCGCUAUAUUCAACAGAUUUUCAGCACUCUGGUUGAGGGUUUCCAGACCCGCUUGUCUGAAGUUGGUGCUUCUGUUCCCCAGCAGACAUGCCUCUCCAUCCCUUUAACUGAGCAGCUUCAUAUAAAGGUUUUGUGUCACCUUCUAGUACAAGAUGCCAAAUUAGAAGCUCAGGCUCAGCUCAGACUUGAGGCCUUACAGAGGUCCAUGAAAGACCAAAUUGUUCACAUGAGUCACCAUGAAGAAAUGAGCCAACUUCUCAAAAAUGUUGAUUCUCAAAUCUCUAGUCAAUGCUUAAGUCAAAAACUGGCUGAUUCCGAAGCCUGCCAAGAUCAACAGCUGAAAGUACAGUUGCUCCAGACAGAGCUAAAGAACCUCGCUAAAAGGCUUGAGGAAUUGAGGGAAAGUUGCCCAGGUCUACGCUGCAAAGCACCUGUGGAUCUGAUGCUGGGACAGCUGUGGAGGUCUUGGGCAGUGCUGCAGUGGAGAGUAGAAUCACUCAAAGCCAGCACGUCUCAUAAAGAAGCAGAGUGGAGAGACUUUGUGAUGCGUGUAUGUAAAAAUAGAUUUUAUUUAAUUGUUUUAUUUUAUUCAUUUCUUUUUCACCUUGUUAAAAAUGUAAUUUCCUUAUAA
Cyprinus carpio (common carp) is the source of this 3390-nucleotide long non-coding RNA. Lineage: Eukaryota; Metazoa; Chordata; Actinopteri; Cypriniformes; Cyprinidae. The record is from Ensembl.